This 381-nucleotide ribosomal RNA is filed under the name Triticum aestivum (bread wheat). RNAcentral's name for it is "partial small subunit ribosomal RNA". The record is from RNAcentral. Lineage: Eukaryota; Viridiplantae; Streptophyta; Magnoliopsida; Poales; Poaceae.
UUUGCACGUUCUACGUGGUCAGUCAUCCAAAUAGCGUUAAAUUUGUAUCCGCCCACAAGUGUCGCCAAUAUUUUUGGUCAUUGAUUGGAUGGUAUUCCAAAUAGGUUGAAAAUGCUAAUAAGGGUGGGAGCGUAUGCCUUGCUAUGGUCGCUUUGGCUCUGUAGAAAUGAUUUAGUUUUCAAUAACAAAAAUGCUUCUCCUUUGCAAGUUAUUUUCCGUUGUACGCACUCGCUUCAUACGUGGUCUACGCUACAACGAGUGGAGUACCAACCGAUGUUCAAGGCGGUGUGUACACGGUUGGAGCAGGUGGCUACGGAGGUUUUUACCCAACAUGGGUGGCAGCAUAAUCUCCGGAUCGGUCCACCACCCUUUUCGACAUAA